Parelaphostrongylus tenuis is the source of this 72-nucleotide non-coding RNA. The record is from the annotation of a GenBank genome assembly. NCBI's taxonomy places the organism in Eukaryota, Metazoa, Nematoda, Chromadorea, Rhabditida, Metastrongylidae.
GCCUCGGUGGUAUAAUGGUAGAGCACGCGUCCCAGAUAGGAUGAAACACGGGUUUGAUUCCCGCUUGAGGUA